GAGAAACUGGAAAAGCUCACCAUUUGAAACACAAAGGAGGCAAAAGGAAAAUCAGUGUUCUUGCAUUGAAGGAGGCGAUGAGGGAGCCCAAGGAUGAGAUAAGGAAGUUUGCGCAGGCGUACAAGUACAACUUGAAGCCGUUGGCGGUCAGCCGCUUUGCCAGCUUCCUGAAAAAGUAUGACACUGGUGAGGAGUACCGUCGCGAUCUUCUGCGCGACUUGUUCAGCUUGAUUGGGGAACAAUGCUGUGACAAUCGGCUCGUUGAUGAAUUGAAGGCAGAAGCAGUCAUCAGCUUGCAAGAAGCAAAGAUAAAAGGAUGCCUAGGCACCGACGGGUCAUCUUCCGUGCAAGUCGUCUCCCUGGGUGCUGUUCCCAAAGUCUUUGUCGACGAGGUAAGUAACGAACUGAGGGUGAGUAGUUCCUCGGUUGCAUUAAACCGUCUUCAGUGCCUCAAUCAACGCUAUGCACUCGCACGUCGGCGUUGCUUGCGAUGUGGCCUCUACCACAAAUCAGUGGAUCAGCAUGCGCAACAUGACAGCUCCCUGGCUCUUUUGCCCAUCUCCGCGCUUGAGGGGCUCGAUCCAGGCCUCCAAGUCGCUGUGCUUGGGCUCUUGGUCGUGCAGGAUGACGAAGUAUUCUUGGAGGAUUUAAGGGGACAGAUUAAACUGAAAUUCAGCGAGCAGUCGCGGGUCACGCCGCACGGCUUUGUGGGAAAUGGGUUCCUGACUGUGGUGAGCGGAUUCUGGGUGAACGGCACUCUCCAGGUCACUCGAGUGGACCUCCCGCCGGCAGAGCGGCGGGAGGUGACGUUGCGGGAUGCCGGCUCUAGCAUGGACCUAUUCGGGUUGGCCCCGCCCAACCCCAUGGAGGCUUUGCGAGAGGAGAAGAAGCGGGUGCAGAGCGUGAUCAUCGUCAUGGCGCACGUGCACCUCGACAAGGCGGGCACCAUGAGCAAGCUGGCUCGCUUUUUUGAGCGCAUGCAGGGCUUAAGUGAGUCAGAGCUGCGCGACGUCACUUUUGUCUUCACCGGAGACUUUUCGUCCUUCCCGCUUCACUUUGGCGACGCGUCUCACUUGCCUGAUAUCUUCGACAACUCGGACCGCUUUCAGAUCCUCUUAGACGGACUAGGUCGCUGCAUCGCCGCCAAUGCUCCCACUGCAGCACAGCACAGUCAUUUUGUGCUUAUCCCGGGCCCCAGCGACAUGACUGCCUUGCAGGGCUUUCAGCCGCAAACGCCCAUUGCCACACAAUUUGCCAAGGGUGUGGAGAGUCGAACAAAGAAGCUCACUCUUGCUCCGAAUCCGUGCCGGUUGCGCUUUCACACACACGAGGUUAUCAUCGCUCGCCGUGAUUUCCUGCGCGAUCUCCAGCGCGGCGAGUUGCUCUAUCCGUGGGACCGCUAUCGCACCACGGAGCGUACCGACGCGGCACUGGAUCAGGGCGCUUCUAGUGGGGCUGGGGCAGCCACCACAACGUCGUUUGAACGCGUUACCAAGACACUGCUAGACGAGGCACACCUGUCACCCAGCAUUGAUGAGGCGGUUUUGUGGAGAGCAGACGACGCCUUGCGCAUCCCGGUGCUGCCGCACACGAUGCUGCUGUGCGACUCAACAGAGCAAUGGGAGUGCCAUUACAAAGGCGUUCAUGUCGUGAACCCCGGCUCCUUUGCCGUCAACGGCACAUUCCUUUGGUACACCCCAGCAGACGGGCAGUGCAGCCUCAAUAGACUGGAGUAAGGAGUUGUCUUGCUGACGCAACCGCUACUCACACGUCACUGGCUGUCGCGUAGCACGCGCACUUACGCUUGCGGCUGUGUAUUGCUUCGAACGCUUCCGUGAAAGCGGGAGGGUUUCACGACCGAAGAGCCCAUUUUUUUACUAGAGGCUCGCUAUUUCUUUUUUUUUUUCCGCGCACUUUCCUGUUACCUGGUGUGCAUCGACUCAUAGAAGUUCGUGUUCAUAGAUGCGAAGGACGCGCGCGUAGUUGCUCAGUCAAAAUGAAGCGCAUCCUUUUUUUUCGUGUGCUCGCUUGACCAAGUCAAGCGAACUCUGCUUCAUGACCGCCAGUCCUUGCUGCUUUUAUUUAUUUCUGGAAUAGGCCGCUCUCACGACGAGAGGGGGGCACCUCACCGUUGCACCUCAGGGUCCAGUACAUCCACUAUGUGUGUGUGUGUGUGGAGGCCAAGCAGCACCCCCUAUCCCUGCCAAUGCCGAGCCACUUGCGGUGGUGACGCGGGGCCAGGCACCCGCGACGUGGUGGUGCCAGAGCGCUUCAUCGCUGCUCAUGCCGGCAGCCAUGUCGUGGACGGCGUUGCGUCGGAGCGGCCUGCGACAGCGAGCACGCGUGUGCCAUCCAUGUGGUGGGCAGCGUGUCAGCGCGACUCGAACGUGCCCCGCCCGGCCCUCGCACUGCCUACUGGUGGUGGGCAACCUGCGUGCCACCGCGAGGGAUGCACCAGGGAUGGCGACUGGCAUGGUGUGAGCCGCUGUGAGGCGACAUGCGAGGCGGCGGAUCGGUAGGUCUCGAGGCGGUGCUGAGCCGACGGAGUCGGUGCACUGCUGCACUGGCGCGUGUCUACGGCUGCUUUGCACCACGAGAUGGGUCUGUGACUGGCCAGGGGCAGCAGAGUGGCGCUGGGCUCCUGCUGCGCGGCAGAGAAUGGACACACACGUCAGAACGAAAAAAAAAAUGAUACGAAAAUUAGGAUACCGCAAAAGCGGAUCACACCCAAUGGAGGCUGACCGACACGCGAUGCCAUAAGUUGGCAGACGGAAACUGUCCGAUAGGACGAACGGUCGGCAGAUAAACCCAUGGAAUAGUCGUGCAUUUUCGUGCUACGCUCUCCAACUGAAGAACCAAAAGCGUUAGAUGUACCUGCUCACACAACGCGACUAGGCGUGGAAGAAAAAGUUUAUUUCGUGCUUGUCCGUCACAUCUUUCCCUUCUUAACAUCGAUUUACAUUUUCCGACGGUCUCCUCGGGCGGGUAUCUGGUGCGUGGGCGUUCGGGGAGACACAG
RNAcentral lists this unclassified non-coding RNA (3018 nucleotides) under Leishmania donovani. RNAcentral describes it as "gene:LdHU3.35.2340(CDS-product:DNA_polymerase_eps ilon_subunit_b_putative)". The record is from RNAcentral. Lineage: Eukaryota; Euglenozoa; Kinetoplastea; Trypanosomatida; Trypanosomatidae.